UGGGGAAUAUUGGACAAUGGGCGAAAGCCUGAUCCAGCCAUGCCGCGUGUGUGAAGAAGGUCUUCGGAUUGUAAAGCACUUUAAGUUGGGAGGAAGGGCAGUAAGCGAAUACCUUGCUGUUUUGACGUUACCGACAGAAUAAGCACCGGCUAACUCUGUGCCAGCAGCCGCGGUAAUACAGAGGGUGCAAGCGUUAAUCGGAAUUACUGGGCGUAAAGCGCGCGUAGGUGGUUCGUUAAGUUGAAUGUGAAAGCCCCGGGCUCAACCUGGGAACUGCAUCCAAAACUGGCGGGCUAGAGUAGGGCAGAGGGGGGUGGAAUUUCCUGUGUAGCGGUGAAAUGCGUAGAUAUAGGAAGGAACACAAGUGGCGAAGGCGACCACCUGGGCUCAGACUGACACUGAGGUGCGAAAGCGUGGGGAGCAAACAGG
Molecule: ribosomal RNA, 429 nt
Filed under: Pseudomonadota bacterium
Lineage: Bacteria; Pseudomonadati; Pseudomonadota
Description: Proteobacteria bacterium partial 16S ribosomal RNA
Rfam family: Bacterial small subunit ribosomal RNA
Source: RNAcentral